Molecule: non-coding RNA, 84 nt
Organism: Coprinopsis marcescibilis
Lineage: Eukaryota; Fungi; Basidiomycota; Agaricomycetes; Agaricales; Psathyrellaceae
Source: the annotation of a GenBank genome assembly
GGGGGCAUAGCUCAGUUGGGAGAGCAGUAGACUGAAGCAGGUUGCGUAUUCUAAAGGUCCUGCGUUCGAUCCGCGGUGCCCCCA